RNAcentral lists this ribosomal RNA (468 nucleotides) under uncultured bacterium. Its description in RNAcentral is "partial 16S ribosomal RNA". It matches the Rfam family "Bacterial small subunit ribosomal RNA", at positions 28 to 507 of the family's 1533-position model. The record is from RNAcentral.
GACGAACGCUGGCGGCGUGCUUAACACAUGCAAGUCGAACGGAAAGUCCCGGCUUUUGUGGGGUGCUCGAGUGGCGAACGGGUGAGUAACACGUGAGUAACCUGCCCUUGACUUUGGGAUAACUUCAGGAAACUGGGUCUAAUACCGGAUAGGAGCUCCUGCUGCAUGGUGGGGGUUGGAAAGUUUCGGCGGUUGGGGAUGGACUCGCGGCUUAUCAGCUUGUUGGUGGGGUAGUGGCUUACCAAGGCUUUGACGGGUAGCCGGCCUGAGAGGGUAACCGGACAAAUUGGGACUGAAAUACGGCCCAGACUACUCCGGGAGGCAGCGGUGGGGUAUAGUGCACAAUGGGCGGAAGGCUGAUGCAGCCACGCAGCGUGCGGGAUGACGGCCUUCGGGUUGUAAACCGCUUUCGCCUGUGACGAAGCGUGAGUGACGGUAAUGGGUAAAGAAGCACCGGCUAACUCCGUG